CAGGCGGACUCUCAACCACUGCGCCACCAGGGAAGCCCCAAAGAUGUUAUUUUUAAAAAAGGAACAAGGAUGUUCUCCAUAUACUGACAGAGAAAGUUCUCCACAACUAUUGUUCUGUGCGGAAAGUAAAAUGCAGAAGUGUGUAUAAAACGUUACCAUCUGCUUAAAGACAGUGGGGAGGAGAUACAAGAAUAUAUAUUCUAGUAAAUCAACUACAUAUCCACUUAAAAAAAAAAAAAAGACUAUAUAUCCUAAAUGCCUUUCUAGGUCUAAAGAACUUCCAGAAGGAUCUCUACAGCACUAAACCCACUUAUGAACUAGGAGGGGGACCCAGCAGAUGGGACGGAGACACUCCACUGCAAAUUUUUCAAAAAUAGUUUUUGGUUUUUCAGCCAAUGUCCUAAACAUUCCAAAAAGCAAAAGUUUUUUUUUAAUUUGUUUUUUUUUUUUUGGCCAUGCCCUGAGGCUUGCAGGAUCUUUGUUCCCUGACCAGGGAUUGAACACGGGCCACAGCAGUGAAGGCUCCAAGUCCUAACCACUGGACCACCAGGGAAUUCCCCAAAAAGUACAUUUUAUAAAAUGUGUUAAAAAAAAUAAGAGGACAGUUUCCGCCAUCACUCAUCAGCGUAAACUGUUACUUGCAGCCGAACGCACACAAACUAAAAAGCCUUUCAGUGGUAAAAGGAAGCACUGGGAUUUGAACCCAGACUUCGGGACACCAAAUCCUUGGACUGCCUUCCAGGACACCCCACUGCCUCAUUUCCAGUGUCCAGGAAAAUGCUGCGAAACUGGGCAUCUGCUGGCACGACCUCCCUUCCCUCUACCCUUCCCCGGCGGAAAUUCAGGAGCCUUCCCUAGUCAUGGCCCGAUUUCUCUCACAUGAUGCUUGAGGCAGAACCACUGGGGAGUCCUGAGAAGUGGGAGCCUGAGGUCUACCCCACGAGGGCCAGGGAGUUGGGUGGGCAGGUCCUGAGCCAGCCAUGGGUUUGUGGUCCUGGUUUCAAGAUGCCACACUUCAUCCUGUUUCUUAACAGAUGCCCCCCACCCUCCUCCAGGGCUUACUUACAAGCAGCAUCGUCCGUCUAACCCUGUCUGUGCUCACCGCCUGGAGGGCUGCAGGGGAGUCGCUAACCAGCCUCCGGCUUCCUCUCGGGUCCCUUCUAAACUCAGCUCCCCACUCGGGCCAAAGAGAUCCAUUUGAUUUGAGGUCACGUGGUUUCCCCUCCCCAGGACUCUCCGCUGCCCCACUCAACAAAACAGUGCUGGGGAGACAGCGGCAAGGACAACAGACAUCCCUACUCUCCUGAAGACGUUCUAGGACAGGAGUCAGACCACGAACAAAGACAUGGUGCUGAGAGGAGGAAAGCAAGGAGGCGGGAGAAAGGAUCCCUCCGGCUGCUGAGUGGAGAACGAAUUGCAGGAGGCGAGGAUGGGAGCAGGGAGCCCAGAGAGGAGGCCAAUGGUGGCAGGGGAAGAGGCGAGAAGUGGUUGGAGUCUGGAUUUGAUGGCAAAGCAACAGGGUCUGCAGACGGACUGACCAGGAGGUGUAGGGGAAAGAGCAGAGUCAAGGGCCCGCUGGAAUCUGAGCCGGACAGCAGGGCAGAGCAGCUAAAAGUGGGCAGCCAGGCAGGAUGUGAAGUGCACACGCACCCUUACACCAGCUCUCCUGGUUGAUCAAGCAGCUGCUCCAGCUAAGGCCAUUCCUCGCUAAGGUAUUCCGACGGUCCCAAAGCUACUAAUUAUCUUAUUAGGAGAGGGGUUGGCCUCCCGCCCAGGACCAUGCCGGGAGGGCUGCUGCUCAGAGACAGAGAAAAAUAGCUGAGAUAUGCAAGGCCUUCAAAUCUUCCUCACCCAGCAGCUCUUUGUGUGUCUUGUUUCAGAACCUGGCCUUUCCCCGACGUCUAAACUGAGAUUGGCGGUUUACAUCUGACUUUGAAUCCUUAAACCAUCUGGGGGUAUAUGGUGUAAGAAAGUUCCCCCAAAGGGGGAGAAGACAGAAGAAUACAAAAGAAUAACUGUCUCCCUCAUCUACUACUGGUAGAAUGUAACAUGGUGUGAUCACGUGGGAAACAGUC
Delphinapterus leucas (beluga whale) is the source of this 2075-nucleotide non-coding RNA. The record is from RefSeq and is a predicted model, not a curated record. Lineage: Eukaryota; Metazoa; Chordata; Mammalia; Artiodactyla; Monodontidae.